Molecule: long non-coding RNA, 1600 nt
Organism: Populus nigra (black poplar)
Lineage: Eukaryota; Viridiplantae; Streptophyta; Magnoliopsida; Malpighiales; Salicaceae
Exons: 2
Source: RefSeq, a predicted model, not a curated record
AAUGUGUGACUGCCAUUGCUGGCAAAAUCACCUCCACGAUUAGCACAGUUUUGGACCAUAACGGAGGUAGAAGAUGAUCAGAAUACAAAGAAAAACACUUGAUUGUAUAAUGCGAUGCCUGUAACGACUUCCAUAGGUGGCCAGAUUGAUCAUUCAAUGAACCAAGGAGGAGCUGGGGAUAUAUAUAUUUUGGUUAAAUGGGUAGAAUUAUCAAAUAAUUGGAUCUAAUUUAUUGACUAGCUCUAUUCAUAAGACACUGCUAAUGAGAUUUAUAAUAAGUUUUAUGUGAUGCAAACUAGAAGUACCAAUUCUGAUUUAGUUAUUGCAGUAUUAAGCUCAUUGUUAAGAAUGCAAACUAUAAGGAUAUCACUGCUGAGCAUAAAUAAAAUAUUUAAAGUUAUGAUCAUUAUGCAUUUGAUUGGUAUUUUCCAAGUUGAUAUUUAUACUUUUGAGAUUCGUCUUUUGCCAUUUUCGAGCAUUGUCUCAAUAGAGGCCUAAAUAGCUUAGCCUCAAACCACCUCCAUGUUUUUUUCUUCUUCUUUUUGUUGAUGCUUAUAUAUGUUGUUGAUGCAUGUUAAGAUAACAUUCUGCCAAUGCCUUCUCCAUUGAUUAGGGUUGGCCUUGCAAAAUUCUGCCAAAGCCUUUAUUGGCUAGCUCUAUUUUUCCUCUGUGGUUUUAUUUCCUUUGUGUUUGUUAGGUUGGCCUUGCAACAUUCUGCCACUGCCUUCUCGAUUGAUUUAUUGCUCAGGCGAGACCCUCCAACUCCUGCUGCUUUUCAUCAGUUCGAGACGCAAGACAAGCAUAAACAAAUAUGCUCCAAGUGUUUAAUAGAAUUGAGAAGUGGUGAUUAUUAGGUAAUGAGCUAUGCACGAGCUAAUACGAAAGUUCAAUGGGGAUCAUGAGAGUUGAGAAAGAUGAAGCAUGGAACCAGUGCCUGAUUCGAUUAUGAAAAAUGUCUUUCAAGGGUUCAACUGAACAAGUUGAAAAAGGGGCAAAAAAUGCAGUGUUUUCCUCUUUAACAACGUUGUUUACAGCUUUAACUCAAUCAUCAUCAAUCAUGGUGUUUAAAUGUGCUUAUGAUGAAACAUGCAGAGCCCAAAAUUGCAAUGCCUAUCAACGAAACAGAUUACAUAAAGUCGUACGUAGUCAUCGAGAGCAUCGUUGGUAUUACCCACCAAAUCAUCACCGGGCUUAUCAACUUGAAGCUGUUUUUUUCUUGCCAGCUGCAAGCAUAGAGUAUGCAAACCAUCAACUGGUUAGUUUCAAGUUCCUUGACAAAAAGUUGAAUUAAAAAGCUAUAUGCUAUAUUCAUCAACAUCCUAAGAGAUUUUUGGGCUAGGUUUAUGGGAUUGAGACUAGGAUUUUGUGGAUGAAUUUCUGUGAUUUUGGCUGAGUUUUUUGGAUGGAAUUUCUAUAAUUUUAGCUGGAGAACCAUGUUGCUUCUUUUAUCAUAACCUCUGGAUUUAGCUGUUUAUUCUAGUUUAGUGAUUGGCUUCCAAAAGUGUGUAUUUUUGGUUAAUUUGGUUGCAUUUUUUAUUUUUUCUUUUCAAUUGCAUCCCUAAUUGAAUCAAUUAGACCCCUGGAUUUGGCACUUGUUACA